AAUACUGCAACAAUGCAUGAAAAACUAUAUCAUGAAAGUAAAAGUGUGGUUCCAAUCAUGCAAGGUAUAUGAGGUGCAUGUGUUGCUGGUGUAGCAAAGCUUUCUCUUUUUCUUUGUUCUUCCUCAUCUUCUUCUUCUUGGUUUG
This 145-nucleotide non-coding RNA is filed under the name Heterosigma akashiwo. Lineage: Eukaryota; Raphidophyceae; Chattonellales; Chattonellaceae. The record is from RNAcentral.